This 495-nucleotide ribosomal RNA is filed under the name uncultured bacterium. RNAcentral's name for it is "partial 16S ribosomal RNA". It matches the Rfam family "Bacterial small subunit ribosomal RNA", at positions 28 to 507 of the family's 1533-position model. The record is from RNAcentral.
GACGAACGCUGGCGGCGUGCCUAAUACAUGCAAGUAGAACGCUGAAGGAGGAGCUUGCUUCUCUGGAUGAGUUGCGAACGGGUGAGUAACGCGUAGGUAACCUGCCUGGUAGCGGGGGAUAACUAUUGGAAACGAUAGCUAAUACCGCAUAAGAGUAGAUGUUGCAUGACAUUUGCUUAAAAGGUGCAAUUGCAUCACUACCAGAUGGACCUGCGUUGUAUUAGCUAGUUGGUGGGGUAACGGCUCACCAAGGCGACGAUACAUAGCCGACCUGAGAGGGUGAUCGGCCACACUGGGACUGAGACACGGCCCAGACUCCUACGGGAGGCAGCAGUAGGGAAUCUUCGGCAAUGGACGGAAGUCUGAUCGAGCAACGCCGCGUGAGUGAAGAAGGUUUUCGGAUCGUAAAGCUCUGUUGUAAGAGAAGAACGAGUGUGAGAGUGGAAAGUUCACACUGUGACGGUAUCUUAUCAGAAAGGGACGGCUAACUACGUG